GGCUGGAACAGGUGUGAUAAAGAAUACUUUCAACCAACUAACUUUUGCGAAUUUCGUGAUUAAAAUAACGCGAACGUAAAUCGCCGCGAAUAUGUUAAACUUUGAUCUUCCUUAUUUUAACUUCAUCAAGCCAAUUUGAAAAUCGCGAAAUUGGCUAGUAUGGGCUUAACGCGGAAUAAAGUAUUCGAGAAAAUAAGUUGGUUUACAGUAAUCAAUAGAACAAAAAUACAAUCUGUAUUGACCUCUUUCACUUAACUGUCGACUAGAACAGUAGACAUACUAUGCAUCUUAUAUUUAUUUGUCGUAUUUUAAAAUAAUAUGUCAUUGACGUACUGUGCAACAACUAAAAAGGAAUUCAUUAAAAAACAGAACAAAAGCUAAAUGAAAAGUCAAAUGAAACAUGAUUUUUAGAAACAUUGACAUUGACAAAUGUUUACAUACCUGUUUAUUUUACAGCACAUAAUGAACUUUGAGUAUUAUUUUGAAA
RNAcentral lists this long non-coding RNA (487 nucleotides) under Mytilus galloprovincialis (Mediterranean mussel). The record is from RNAcentral. Lineage: Eukaryota; Metazoa; Mollusca; Bivalvia; Mytilida; Mytilidae.